Molecule: transfer RNA, 60 nt
Filed under: Phenacoccus manihoti (cassava mealybug)
Lineage: Eukaryota; Metazoa; Arthropoda; Insecta; Hemiptera; Pseudococcidae
Description: tRNA-Gly
Source: RNAcentral
AUUUUAUUAAUAUAUAUUAGUAUAAUUAAUUUCCAAUUAAAAAGAUUACUUUAAUAAAAU